UACGGAGGAUGCGAGCGUUAUCCGGAUUUAUUGGGUUUAAAGGGUGCGCAGGCGGAUUUUUAAGUCAGCGGUCAAAUCGUGGGGCUCAACCCCAUCCAGCCGUUGAAACUGACACCCUUGAGUGAGUGAGAAGUAAGCGGAAUGCGUGGUGUAGCGGUGAAAUGCAUAGAUAUCACGCAGAACGCCGAUUGCGAAGGCAGCUUACCGGCGCUCAACUGACGCUGAGGCACGAAAGUGCGGGUAUCGAACAGG
This 252-nucleotide ribosomal RNA is filed under the name uncultured Bacteroidales bacterium. Its description in RNAcentral is "partial 16S ribosomal RNA". It matches the Rfam family "Bacterial small subunit ribosomal RNA", at positions 524 to 776 of the family's 1533-position model. The record is from RNAcentral. Lineage: Bacteria; Pseudomonadati; Bacteroidota; Bacteroidia; Bacteroidales.